This 419-nucleotide small RNA is filed under the name Histoplasma capsulatum var. duboisii H88. RNAcentral describes it as "Histoplasma capsulatum H88 hypothetical RNA". The record is from RNAcentral. Lineage: Eukaryota; Fungi; Ascomycota; Eurotiomycetes; Onygenales; Ajellomycetaceae.
UGCCUCUUUGCCCCUCAUUUUCUCUAUUGAGACCAUGAGCUGCCGCAUCACAUGCGCCCCAGGCCUGUGGGGGAAUGAGGGGUGAGGUGAGCGCGGGGUGCGUUGCAUUCCACCCCCACAAUUUGUACUCUAUCCGCAGGAACACGACGGAACGUGAGAGAGGUCAUGGAAUCGAGUUUUUUCCAGGCUUCAGGCUUCUCGUAUCUAUUAUCUAUCCAUGGAUGCCCAACGCCACAUCGCGGCUCUGAUUCACGGAACGGCAACGGCCCAUGAAACCGCGCUGCUAUAUUUAAAUACAUUGAACCUUCAGGAGAUAGUUAGUUAGUUACUGGGUAAAUAUUAAAUAAUCAUCAAGGUAAACCGACGCCGAGAAAUUGACCUUUUGCUUCCGCUUUUUCUUUUUUUAUACGUCCGCUGCC